GUGCUUGAUUUGGAAACACAUAUUCUAAAACUGGAAAAAUACAAAAAAGAUUAGUAUGUCCCCUACACAAGAAUGAUAUGUGAAUUAAUUUUUGGAGCAUUCCAUAUUUUU
This is a small nuclear RNA of Apodemus sylvaticus (European woodmouse), 111 nucleotides long. The record is from RefSeq and is a predicted model, not a curated record. Lineage: Eukaryota; Metazoa; Chordata; Mammalia; Rodentia; Muridae.